GUGCCUGUCUCCGAAAUGGGUGCUGCCUAGUUACUACCAGUUACUACCACUAGGGCACUACUACCACUACACUGCCAGAAGGGGGCGUUAACCACCGGAUGACCGGUGUCGAUCAGGUCCCCUUUCCGCCCAUACGCCCACCUUUCCACACACGGCGUCUCCUUUUUCACAAUCUCGGGUCCCGGCACUUUACAAAUUUCUUUGUAAGGUGGCCCUGGAGAGGCUGAACUACCUUAGCCUUCGAAAAGACUACCUUACAAAGGUACAAACACAAAGUGUUUGGGUAUACAUUAUAGAAGUAUUUAUCAGCUUUAUAUAAUGGCAAAGUGUAGUGUACUCAUGCAGAGUGUUUAGCUUUAAUUUAGCUUUAAUAUAAUUUAGCACCACCCUAACGGCAAAUUGUAUUAAUGAUCCAUAAACAUAUAAUAAAUUCCCACGACAUAAUGACACCUGUCACCUGGCAGCCUGUCACGCAGAGAUUCCAAUUCCACGGGUUUUAACUCCACGUCGGAACACAACUUUUAUACCCGGUAGUCAGUGGUAAAUCUGUACCUUAGUGGUUUUUUCUGAAAUUUUACAGUUUACAUAUUUUCUACAUAUGUAUGUUAUCUACAUCUACAUCACUUCUCACGCCAACACGAUCUUUUAGCUUGCCCGCCUCCCCUAGAGCCUCACACUGCACGAAGCAGAGUGUGGAAUGAGAGAAAGUGCAAAAAAAUAAAAAAAAGCUGCUGGACAGGGUGUAUUUAGCCACUGAAAAUUAACUUCAACUCUUUUUCUUGCAAUGGGCAACUAGCUUUAAACCCCAUGCCAUCAAAGGGUUAUCCAGCCUCCAUUGUCGUUUCACUCAGACUUAUUGACAGCAUUGUUAGGGGAGCCGUUCUGCCGACGAGACCUCCUUAUAUAGUUGCUUCAUGGGUAACGUCUAUCUCAGUCGUUCCACUACAGGCCCCUGUAGCACUUAUAUUAGAACUCGGCAUACAGUCACUGACGUGUUUUGUUGCUUUUAUAUGCGCUGAGCUGAACAGAGAGACGAAGUCAAAAACGUUUCUGGAUUCUCUGCCGCUGCGACAGCCGAGCAAUUGUGCAUAGGCCCCAUACGAAGCUGAUUUUCUGUCGC
RNAcentral lists this long non-coding RNA (1120 nucleotides) under Drosophila guanche. Lineage: Eukaryota; Metazoa; Arthropoda; Insecta; Diptera; Drosophilidae. The record is from RNAcentral.